This 400-nucleotide ribosomal RNA is filed under the name uncultured bacterium. RNAcentral's name for it is "bacterial SSU rRNA". It matches the Rfam family "Bacterial small subunit ribosomal RNA", at positions 975 to 1375 of the family's 1533-position model. The record is from RNAcentral.
CUGGGCUUAAAUGUAGAGUGCAUGAGUGGGAAACCAUUCUUUCCUUCGGGACUCCUUACAAGGUGCUGCAUGGUUGUCGUCAGCUCGUGCCGUGAGGUGUCGGGUUAAGUCCCAUAACGAGCGCAACCCCUACCUUUAGUUGCCAUCAGGUAAUGCUGGGGACUCUAAAGGAACUGCCUACGCAAGUAGUGAGGAAGGUGGGGAUGACGUCAAAUCAGCACGGCCCUUACGUCCAGGGCUACACACGUGCUACAAUGGUCGGUACAGAGGGCAGCUACCACGCGAGUGGAUGCAAAUCUCCAAAGCCGAUCUCAGUUCGGAUCGAAGUCUGAAACUCGACUUCGUGAAGUUGGAUUCGCUAGUAAUGGCGCAUCAGCCAUGGCGCGGUGAAUACGUUCCC